GCUGAGCACUCCUACGGGAGGCAGGCAGUGGGGAAUAUUGCACAAUGGGCGCAAGCCUGAUGCAGCCAUGCCGCGUGUAUGAAGUAAGGCCUUCGGGUUGUAAAGUACUUUCAGCAGUGAGGAAGGUGGGUAUGUUAAUAGCAUAUUCAUUUGACGUUAGCUGCAGAAGAAGCACCGGCUAACUCCGUGCCAGCAGCCGCGGUAAUACGGAGGGUGCGAGCGUUAAUCGGAAUUACUGGGCGUAAAGCGCAUGCAGGUGGUUUGUUAAGUCAGAUGUGAAAGCCCGGGGCUCAACCUCGGAAUUGCAUUUGAAACUGGCAAACUAGAGUACUGUAGAGGGGGUAGAAUUUCAGGUGUAGCGGUGAAAAUGCGUAGAGAUCUGAAGGAAUACCGGUGGCGAAGGCGGCCCCCUGGACAGAUACUGACACUCAGAUGCGAAAGCGUGGGGAGCAAACAGGAUUAGAUACCCUGGUAG
RNAcentral lists this ribosomal RNA (475 nucleotides) under uncultured bacterium. RNAcentral's name for it is "bacterial SSU rRNA". It matches the Rfam family "Bacterial small subunit ribosomal RNA", at positions 328 to 793 of the family's 1533-position model. The record is from RNAcentral.